RNAcentral lists this unclassified non-coding RNA (240 nucleotides) under soil metagenome. RNAcentral describes it as "partial contains 5.8S ribosomal RNA, internal transcribed spacer 2, and large subunit ribosomal RNA". The record is from RNAcentral.
AACGCACGAGACCUGCGGACCUGCGGAAGGAUCAUUACCGAGUUCAUGCCCUGAAGGGUAGAUCUCCCACCCUUGUGUAUAUUAUAUCUCUGUUGCUUUGGCAGGCCGCUGGGCUCUCAGAGCCUGGCCAUCGGCUCCCCAGCUGGUGCGCCGCCUGCCAGAGACCCCCCAAACUCUUGUUUGUCUAGUGUCGUCUGAGUACCAUUGCAAAUCGUUAAAACUUUCAGCAACGGAUCUCUA